This is an RNA transcript of Achroia grisella, 1657 nucleotides long. RefSeq lists it as uncharacterized. The record is from RefSeq and is a predicted model, not a curated record. Lineage: Eukaryota; Metazoa; Arthropoda; Insecta; Lepidoptera; Pyralidae. The transcript has 5 exons.
UUUUCAGAUGAGAGAUACGAGUGCAGUUUAAAAAUGUCAUAAGGUUCUAAUUGGCAAUGAGAGGAUGAGCCAUGGAAUCACGAAGCGCGCCGCCAAGCCCCGACGAGGCGGGGGAGGCGGUGUACGACUCACAUUGCGUACGUUACCCGACACCAUCACUGCAAAGAACUUUUGCAAGUUGUCGCGAAACGACGCGACCUCGCCCUCAUCACCGCCACGCAACCUCAGAACCAGCACGGCCAGACGACCGUGUUCUUACGACUGCCGAAGUUCACGAUUAUCCUUCAUCAGAAUCAGGCAUCGCAGCCGACUGCCCUCAUGCGCAUACCAGCAACGCUGACGAUAGUCCUUCUUAUGACAGAUCUGACUAUGAAGGCAAUUCAAGUUAUAGUCUUAGGCGCACUUCAGAUUAUCAUCACACUAUUGAUUGUAAACAUCGUCCUGUAGACUAUAAUCGAAGUCAUACACCAGAUUAUAAUCAUGGACACGGCUCAGAUUGUGAUCGACCUUAUCCACGGUCUCAAACUUCCCGAAGACCCCAUAGAAAACAUAGACGAGAAGAAGAUGAUGGUGCACAGUCGCUGGAUGAACGAUGUGCUCGAGAUUUGGAUGAAAUUUUACCGGCGAGACUUGCUGCUGUCAAUUUAUCUAGAGAACCGCCUCCACAAACUUGGAAUAGAAGCAAUAUUGCAGCAACUAUGGAAAGAUUUGAACCUGUGGACUAUUCGUAUGCCUAUUAUGAUCAUCAUUUAUCGAUGCCUUCUUCAUCGAGAAAAACAAAUCGCCAAAGAGGACGUGGUGGCAUUCCUAAAGAUCGGUCUGCUCGUCAUAAUUAUGUUACAAGAUAUGGAACAGAAGAAAAUAUCUAUGAAGAAAUUACAGAUGGCUCAAGGACAUGUCCAAAACAUAGAUAUGUACCUAGGCAAUCAUUGGUCUCACUUGAUAGAAGUGUAGUUGAAGAAGAAGUACGCCGUGUAGAAUCCAGGCAUAAACGAAUUUUAGGGGAAUUAAACCUUAGCGUAGAAGCAAUGUUAAUGCCAGAAUGUGAGUCACCAGAUUCUGAACGGGCGGAAGAUAGAGAUAAUAUAGAGGAAUUACUCCGAGUAGGUCCAACUGAUGAAUUAUUAUCACCUGCUAGUUGCAAUCCUCCUGAUCUAGAUAGUGGUUUUAGCGGUAGCAGCAGUGGAGCAAGUUAUGUAGGUAGUUUGCGACGUAAGCCGACGGGAUCAGUGCCUCAUUUGCCUGCCGUAGCAUAUGGAACGCGUGGUGCUGGUGUACGCAUACUCGGUGCAGAAGAUUGUGGACUGAGAUGUCCUAAAGAUAUCCCUUCGCCGCGUAGUUCCAGUUGCGGGGAUGCGAAAACUAGCGGGUUUUGGAAUAAAAAAGCUUGGAAAAAAAUAUCGGGCUUUUCGAGCUCUAAUAGCAUCAACAAAGCUGGCCUCACCGGUCUGCUCGUUAGGUACACUUUCCGGCGUAAGUCCGGCUCGCAGGGCUCUCAGGGCAAGCGGCGUGCCGAGCCCGUCAAAUGCGAUGCGUGCCUCUCACAACGAUGUUAGCCGCGAUAUUAUUAUGAUGAAGCCUGUAGGCCAAGCAGAGCUAAAUCCAGAACAUCUACUAUACCAUACAGCUACUCCAACGGAAAACUGGUGGUGCCGCU